RNAcentral lists this long non-coding RNA (200 nucleotides) under Vitis vinifera (wine grape). Its description in RNAcentral is "long non-coding RNA (VVIN_LNC003255)". The record is from RNAcentral. Lineage: Eukaryota; Viridiplantae; Streptophyta; Magnoliopsida; Vitales; Vitaceae.
AAGUUGUUCAUAGCAUCUAAAGCCUUGAGAGCACAACCCGAAGUCGUUCAUGUGAACCACAACCUUGAGAUGUUCUUGGUAUCCACUACCUUCACCUAUUCAUAUCAUUUAGAGCCCUAAGCUCAUGACCUGGAUUCUUUUGUGUCAUCAACAGCCCUGAUUUGUUCAUAGCUUCUAGAGUCCUGAGCUCACGACCCAAA